CUGGUGCUGAGGGCGAUAGUGAUCGUGUGAAAGAUGACGAUGAUGACCUUACGCGUUGCCGAUGUUCUUAAGGAAUUAUGAUGAUGUUCAGAGGAAUAUGGUAGUGAGAUAAAGGAGGCAAUGGUUGCAGAGAAAAAAUUCUGAUAACGAUGGGGAUUACGACUACGGUAAAUAUCAAGACUGAUAGAAACGCUUGAGUUGCAGAGUAAAUGAAGUCAGUGUUUAGCGAUGGCAUUUUAUCAGCUAAGCACUGACAAAUAUUUCGAAAUCUACAUAGUUACCACCAUAUUAACACUGAUGCAUCGUUUCCUGUAGCUGGUCAUUGAAGCGCUAUAAAUGUUUUCUCAGUAAGGUGAACCGCAACGGCAUUCACUGUGAAAAUUCAAUAUGUAUGAAAAGUUAUUCAUGCAGCAGCUGAUCUAGCAAGGUUUAUA
Octopus bimaculoides (California two-spot octopus) is the source of this 434-nucleotide long non-coding RNA. RefSeq lists it as uncharacterized. The record is from RefSeq and is a predicted model, not a curated record. NCBI's taxonomy places the organism in Eukaryota, Metazoa, Mollusca, Cephalopoda, Octopoda, Octopodidae.